This 638-nucleotide long non-coding RNA is filed under the name Dicentrarchus labrax (European seabass). Its description in RNAcentral is "lncRNA (ENSDLAG00005033452.1)". The record is from RNAcentral. Lineage: Eukaryota; Metazoa; Chordata; Actinopteri; Moronidae.
UUCACAACUAAACAAAGAAAUAUGGAUAACCUAGUGCGUUUGAGCCACAAUAUGACUUUCAAUGCAAAUGUGGUCUAAUCCAUGAAUGAGUAACAGCAAAUGGUUACUUAGGAAAACACAAUAAUAUAAAUAUAAAAACAGGUAUUGUAACUACCAUUAAGCAGAAAAUAAUUAGGAUAAAGUAAACAUUGUGUUAGCGAAACCUAACUGUUAAAUAUAAAAAAUAUGUAGUUUGUACACGCUUGUAACAUGAAUAAGUGAAUAACGUUCGCAAAUUUCACAUCAUGGGACGAACCGGUCUCUCUUAUGACCCAACCAGACCACGGACCAUAUUUGGAACUUCCUUCACGUUCGCUCUUUACGUUCGUACGUUCGGGAGCCGAUUCGGAUGGCGCCAGUCGACAGAGAAAACUACACCUCCUGGCCUGUUGGUGGACACAGUUGACAUUUAUUUUAAACAGAGAGCUGCACCUGUCACUCUGAGGAGGAUGAUGGAGCAAAGCAAAGAACAACAAGCAACUGCCUUAAGCUUAGACAACACAGAUGUGUUGUGUGAUUCACUGGUGUGCAUAGAGGAAGCUGCUGUGUCUCCUCGUUGUUUCGCUGCAGCUGAUUUUAUUUUAGAAAUCCUGUAUUGA